Poecile atricapillus (Black-capped chickadee) is the source of this 1851-nucleotide long non-coding RNA. RefSeq lists it as uncharacterized. The transcript has 3 exons. NCBI's taxonomy places the organism in Eukaryota, Metazoa, Chordata, Aves, Passeriformes, Paridae. The record is from RefSeq and is a predicted model, not a curated record.
GUUCGGCUCUGUCAGCCUCUGCCCUGUCUCAGGGCCAAACUUAGGUAGGGUAGGGAGCAACUGUGGAUUGCCUGGUCCGGGCUAAGGGACAUCUCUUGGGGCCUAUGGAUAAGGAGCAUCCCCGGUUGCAAGCGUAGGGUUGUAAGUUUGUAGGGUUCAGCGCUGGAGCUUGGCAGUGACACAGAGACACUGAGGGAGAGCUUCAGAGGUCAAAAGCUCAAAGGCUGGAAACAAACAGUGAAAAUAAAAGGGGUACAGGUUGGGAUAUAAGGUAGCGUACAGGACUAUUCGAACCCUAAACAGUAGCCCUAAAAAUGCCCCCCAUUUUCCUGAGAAAGCUGCAGGCAGGAACCCUAAAGCAGCAGAGUGCCAGAACCCUCGAGAGCUGCAGGCAGUACCCCUGGUGCUAGGGCCAGCCAGGAAGUGAUAGUGAGUGCUAGGGCCUACUGCUGUCAUAUAAGCUGGGGUUUCCAUCCUUGGGGUACCCUGGGCUCCCUGUCCCUCACUGACUGGAGAGUCUUCCUCCCCUCCUUGAGGUGGUGGUAAUUUGGCUGUGUCAGCCAAUACUGCUGUGAAGCAAGCCUCUGCCUCCCUGUGGGGUGAAGUGUGCAGCCCAUGAACCUGGGCGUUCUCUAGAGAAGGUAAGUGCUGGGUUUUCACAGAUGUGCCGCUAAGAUCCUGCACUGAUAUUUGGUCUUCUUGAUUGUAGCUGACCAGGAGACGACAUCCUGGCGAUGGCAGGAACUUCCCGGAUGGCGAGGCGGCCUUCCUUGACGCCCCAUGUGGAUCCUCCCCGCUGGGCAUCCGAGAGCUAAGUCGAAGGCUACAAAUUGCAGAUGGGAUGAAAGCGGGGUGCAGGGUCGGGACUCGUGACCUGGGAUUAUGGAGUCAGCUCUGGGGAUGGGGAGGUCCAGACUGUGGCCCCUUAGGCCACAUGGUGGGAGAGCCUCACUUUUGUUCACAGUGCUGAGGUACGCAGGACAGAGCAGCCCCGGGGCGCAUCAUGUCACUUGUCUGUCGUGCCUUCUGUGUCUUUUGUGCCUCUCGUGUUGUAUGUGCCUUGCCUUAUCUCUUCUGGGGGCUUACCAGAAACCCCGGUGUCACUCGUAGCAUCUCUGAUCUCUGGGCUCCUCAGCCCGACGCUGUCGAAGCUUUGCCUCGGGAGCUCUCAGACGCCUUGGAAUUGCGUCUGUUUUGAAAAGCAUCUGAUCGGAUGUCUUUUAGAGGUCUUGUUCCGAGCUGUGUCAACAGCCGUGCGCCGCGAGGAUCCAUUGUUGUGGCUUAGGUCUUGAAGAAACGCAAAGAUUGGUAGGGGACUGUGGCCCUAAGAUUCUCGGGCAUCCCUCUUGGCAGUUCCUGGAGUUAAUCGUUCCAUCAGCAUCUUCUUCCUCCCGGGUUCUGCGAGCUUCAUCAGCUCGCCUUCAUUCUCACCCGGCUCAUCUCGUUCCACGUUCUCUCGGUCCUUGUGGCCGUUCUUGUGGCCCAGAGUUUUGUCUCCCCGUUGUGUGCCCUUGUCUGUUGUCUUGUGUGUCACGGGUGUCUGGGUGUAGUUGUUGCGGAGCUGCUCUGCCCUGCUGCCCAGCCUGGGUGUAGGUGUAAAAGGCCAAGUCCCAGGCCCCUGUAAUUUGAAAUUUGUAGGUUUUACUUGGAGUCUAGAGGGCAUUCCUAGAUGGACACAAGAUGUCUGGAGCUGUGAAGUUACCCUGCAGCACUUUGACUUCUGUCUUAGCUCUCUUUCAGAUGCAGAUGGAUGAAAUCGGUGGCAGAGCGCCCCAUCCAGGGAAGUAGAGUCAGCUAGUAGCAGUCAAGGUGAAGUGGACAAGGCAGUCCAGUCGUGUUUCACCGAGAUCC